Molecule: long non-coding RNA, 1981 nt
Filed under: Struthio camelus australis
Lineage: Eukaryota; Metazoa; Chordata; Aves; Struthioniformes; Struthionidae
Description: lncRNA (ENSSCUG00000015967.1)
Source: RNAcentral
GUAUGGUGAAAGCAUGGCUGUUGCUCAGGGCAAAGGAAAAAAGUAGAUUUGCAUACUUCCGAUGAAACUUAUCUUCUGCCGUUUAUGGGACCAGAAAUGUUACGCCCUUUUUACACCAACAUAUGAGGGAUGCAAUGAUUUGGCCGGAGCUGCAGAUAAAAAUUUGAAGAAAAUCAUAGCAUCUGUGUUCCUUCUACAGGUCUCAAUAAUUUAGCAGUUAUCCAGACACCGACAAAAGCACACUUAACAGUUGGAGACUCCACUGAAAUCACAUGUAUUUGGGAAAAAUGGAUUCGAUUGAGAGAUAUAGAGUAAGCUGGUAUCUUGUCAAUAAGGAGAACAUCACAAAAACUGUAACGUCAGACGUUGUCUACCUAUCCAGUGUCACCCGCGAAAACAAGGAUGUGCUGGUGAUAGAAGCUGCCAAUGUAAAUAACACUGGAUUUUAUUACUGUGAGAUAAUUAUUGAAAUACCUUUCUAUGAAAGAAUGUAUGGAAAUGGAACAAUGCUGACUGUUGAAAAGAAAGGCAAUAGGGAUGGUGCGUGUUUCACCUAACCUUAAAGAAAGAAUGUGUCAUACCUGGAGGACAAUUUACCUUACUUCUGUUACACAACUCUCAAGAUCCUGUGCGUCGCUUUUUGAUGACAACGAUGAUCUCCCUCUCCUUUUCUGUCGCAGCUGUAGAGAAAGACAAGAAGCUGACUCACUGGAGAAGAGAGGGAUGGCAAUUUUGGCCAUCAUUCCUUUCCUAGUGGCAGUGGGAAGCUUGUAUCUUUGCUACAAAAAGAAACAGAACGCAAAACUUUCUGGUUCUACCCAGCUGCCUAUGCCAGAAGAAAGACAUCAGGAGGAGCAGGUGCUUCAGGUAGCAGAGCUUCAUGGAAGAAGUGGAUUCAUCAGUGAAGGAGUGGAGGAAAACUCAACAUGUAAUUCUGCUGGAUGGGUAAGCGGCUUGUAAAAUGACUCUUGCUAUGAGAAAUGGACUUCCAAAAUGAAGGCCUGGGGAGUGCAAGCUGAACAGAAAGCACACAAUGAGCUGUUGUUCCUAGGAUGGCACCCUGCUACAUACUAAAAAGCUUUGAAGUAGAAAGAAAUGUUUUAUCAUGGGAGUCAACACCUUAAAUAAGGAAAAAGGUAUUUAUGUACUAGAAAAGUAUUGGAUUCCGCUAAUAUGUUUAAUGAUGCUCUAGAAUUGCAUGGAAAGGAGGGCAGCACAAAGUGGAGAACAUAAAUCUAGAGACUGGAUUGAAGGAGCACAGGAGAAGACAACAGUGGCAAUAAUAUGGCUUUACCUAUAUUUGUAUGCUUGUCAUUUUCAGCCAAGUUCAGCUUAAGGGGCUACUCCGGCAGGCAACAGCUGCUGAGAGCAGGUAGCAGCCUUUAGGCAUUCAUCUUUUAAUUCGAUUCAAAAGUAGAGUAGCCAAGGGAAAGAAGCCCUAAUUUAAAUAGACUUUACUGGUAAAAGUUAUUUUGACUGGAGUUUUCUUUGCUUUUUAAGGCUGUAUCUGUGCUGUAUGAAUCCUUUGAUCUUUUUUGCAAUGAACCAAGAUAAGAUGGCAAAUCUACUGUGACUGCUGUAUCCAGCACAGCAAAUGAGCAAAUCCUGUGAAUUAGGGCAGCCAAAGAGUCAAGAACGAAAGUGAGACAAGGAUUUACCACCUACUUUGACACUGAGAACUAAAUGAUCCUGUCAUAAAUAACCAAUAUGGAUAAAGAUCUAUGAAACUGAAAAUACCACCAUAAUUGCUGCUGAAAUAUGGAUUACUUGAGUCUGCUGUCAGAAGAAUGUUAGAGGGACAAUAUGCCAGAACAAGGGUUGGUUCGGAACAGUCUCUAAACGUUUUAUCAUUGACUUUAUCGUAAGGAGUCUGUGAAUUUGAAGUGUUUGCAGUUGUAGAAGGCUAUGUCUUCAACUUUACCCCCAAUAUCCAGAGUGCAGAACUAAUAAAGUAUGUAUUGACAUACUUGAAAAUCUUCUA